AGACAGAUCUGUUUAGGUAGAGCACCAUCAAGACAGAUCUGUUUAGGUAGAGAACCAUCAAGACAGAUCUGUUUAGGUAGAGCACCACCAUCAAGACAGAUCUGUUUAGGUAGAGCACCACCAUCAAGACAGAUCUGUUUAGGUAGAGCACCACCAUCAAGACAGAUCUGUUUAGGUAGAGCACCACCAUCAAGACAGAUCUGUUUAGAUAGAGCACCACCAUCAAGACAUAUCUGUUUAGGUAGAGCACCACCAUCAAGACCACCAUUUUUCUUCAAUCAGUUUUGAUAUAAACAUUUCAGUGGGUGUCCUGGUGUUCACCUAGCACGCGAUCAUUGCUCUCAGUUCCAUUGCAUUACACAAGAGUCAUCAUUGGACGAAGGCGUCUUCUGUACGGGAAAGUUUUGUUAAGAGUCGCGACGCUCAGGCUGAACAUUUAACACGCAUCGUUUGCGGUACGGUUUUGCAAGCAUAAGGACCUUAUCUUUAUUUUUUAAGGUUAAAUUGAUACACACCUUUUAUAGGGUUCACACACGGCCGUAUCUCCAUUUAAGCACUAGUUGAGGGAAAACAUACCGAAGACAGAGUGGACUACAUGUGCUAAUUAGUUGUCAGCAUCUCCAAACACCUGUGUGUAAACGGAAGAUGACAAACGGUGUUAUCACUGAAAAAUACUGUCGGCUGCAACUGUGUUGAAACCGGUUAAAAAGGAGUACGGUGUUUAUUUUGUGUUUGGGAAAUUAUUUAGAGGGAAUUCAUGUUUCUAGAACCGUACUGCAAUUGAGGAUCGAUUCAGGUUUGGAUUGAAUUUGGGUUCCAGAACCACUUCACCUUUAAACAGAACAUGUAAGGUCAUUGGACUAAGGAGUAACGUUAGGUUUCUUUAGUUUAUUAUUGGGCGAUUGUUCCCCUAGUUAGGGAGAGUGAAAAAUAGCCAUUUCAAUUCAUGCUUGAUUUAUAUUACUGUUUGUACAGACACACACAAAGGUACACACACAUGCAUACUGCAUACAUUAUGAUAUUGUUGCAUGGUGGUAUUAAACAUUUUGUAUUGUA
This is a long non-coding RNA of Oncorhynchus gorbuscha (pink salmon), 1056 nucleotides long. RefSeq lists it as uncharacterized. Lineage: Eukaryota; Metazoa; Chordata; Actinopteri; Salmoniformes; Salmonidae. The record is from RefSeq and is a predicted model, not a curated record. The transcript is spliced from 2 exons.